CCUACGGGAGGCUGCAGUAGGGAAUAUUGCUCAAUGGGGGAAACCCUGAAGCAGCAACGCCGCGUGGAGGAUGAAGGUUUUCGGAUUGUAAACUCCUUUUGUUAGAGAAGAUAAUGACGGUAUCUAACGAAUAAGCACCGGCUAACUCCGUGCCAGCAGCCGCGGUAAUACGGAGGGUGCAAGCGUUACACGGAAUCCCUGGGCGUAAAGAGCGCGUAGGCGGGUUAGUAAGUCAGAUGUGAAAUCCUAGGGCUUAACCAUAGAACUGCGUUUGAAACUGUUAUUCUAGAGUAUGGGAGAGGUAGGUGGAAUUCUGGGUGUAGGUGUAAAAUCCGUAGAGAUCAAGAGGAAUACUGAUUGCGAAGGCGACCUGCUAGAACAUAACUGACGCUGAUGCGCGAAAGCGUGGGGAGCAAACAGGAUUAGAUACCCCGGUAGUC
RNAcentral lists this ribosomal RNA (440 nucleotides) under uncultured bacterium. Its description in RNAcentral is "partial 16S ribosomal RNA". It matches the Rfam family "Bacterial small subunit ribosomal RNA", at positions 338 to 795 of the family's 1533-position model. The record is from RNAcentral.